This 434-nucleotide ribosomal RNA is filed under the name uncultured archaeon. RNAcentral describes it as "bacterial SSU rRNA". It matches the Rfam family "Archaeal small subunit ribosomal RNA", at positions 4 to 444 of the family's 1478-position model. The record is from RNAcentral.
CCGGUUGAUCCUGCCGGACCUGANUGCAAUCGGAUUGAUACUAAGCCAUGCGAGUCAUUGUAGCAAUACAAGGCAGACGGCUCAGUAACGCGUAGUCAANCUACCCUAUGGACGGGAAUAACCUCGGGAAACUGAGUAUAAUGCCCGAUAGAACAUUAUNNCUGGAAUGGUUUAUGUUCCAAAUGAUUUAUCGCCAUAGGAUGGGACUGCGGCCUAUCAGUUUGUUGGUGAGGUAAUGGCCCACCAAGACUAUUAAAGGUACGGGCUCUGAGAGGAGUGGCCCGGAGAUGGGUACUGAGACACGGACCCAGGCCCUAUGGGGCGCAGCAGGCGAGAAAACUUCGCAAUGUGCGAAAGCACGACAAGGUUAAUCCGAGUGGUUUCUGCUAAAGGAACCUUUUGACAGUCCUAGAAACACUGUUGAAUAAGGGGUG